AUGAAGGAUAUGGUGCUCUAUUUGUAAUAGAAACUUUCAAGGCUCUUCCAGCUCCCUUUCUCUUCGUUCUUUAGCUGUAGUCACGAGUUCUCGCUCCAUGAUUUUCAAGAUCAAUUCCCAUUAAAUUGCAAAGUGGAUACUUUCUAAAAGACACAUGAAUAGUUAUUAAUGAUCCUAUUCCCCCACAAUGAUUCUCCCAAGCCUGUCACUUGCCUGUUUGAGCUGUGGUAAAUGGGUCAAAAGAGGAGUUCAGUCUUAAGGAGCAGACUCUGUCACAAAACACCGUGGCCCAUAGGAAGAGCAGACCCAGACUCACUCUGGAGUCAGCUUAUCCGUUGCUCCAAUCCUCCCUUUUAGUUUCCUGAGCCUGGCUUGGACCUUGGCAUUCCGUUUGAAUUCCUUCUUCUAACUGGAACAUUUGUGUUGUAUCUGUAACACUGGCACUGAAAUAAAGACCACACGGUUAAAGAAAUCGUUCCCACAUUGUACUUUAUGGUGUUGAAAUGAAGCUUUGUAGCUUCCUUGCCCCCUAUGUGAGAGCAAGUCUUACGGUCACCAUAGGGUAGGAAUGUCCUUUCCUGAGUAUGAGAAAUUGGUCUCUUAAGAAACCAAUCUCAUGAACAUUCGAAUUAAAGGUUUGAGCUUUUUAAACAGUAAGAGUGCCGAGUGUUUUUUAGAAAAGACCCCAAUAUUACCAAAUCUUUAUGUUGAAUUGUUGGAAUGAGGUGAAGGUGAUUGUCUGUGGUACACGUUGAAUGUACUAUGUAUGUUCAGGUAUUCAGGCAUCAUGUCCAGUUUACUGCAGGAGAAAGUAAAAGUGGGCCCCCUUGCUUGUAAAGCGUUUGCAGUUGUUACUGUAUUAUGCAGUAAGACGACACUUUGGCUUCAGUUUUAACUCUUGAUACAAAUCUCCCUUUCUCCCUGCUCCAUUUCACCACGCCUUUACUUAAAUUCUUCAGUGUCUUGUCAAACCUAGCUCUGUAUCAGAUGCUAGACUAUUCCUAACAUUGACAAACUGGAGUUGAACUAAAGGCUCCAAAAGGGAAAGUUUCUGGUCUUAAUAGUCCUGUAAGAGCAAGAUUUACUGAAAUUUACUUGACUGGGUAAAUGGACAUCUGAGUUACAAACAGGAUAUUUCUCCUGUGUUCAGCAAAACAGGUGUGGACAAGUGCAGACUUUAGACAGCCGCUCUGCCUGAUCAGUGGGAGCCGUUAGGAUUUCCUGCAGACGGAUUUCAUUGGAUGCAUAGUUAAUGCUGUGAAACGUGAUAGGAUUAAUGCUGUAUUGGUGGAUUUCUUGAAUAGAAUUUUGUCUUAACAUUCCUUUUUUGUGUGGAGGCUUUAUUUUCUCCAUUUGUAGCUAACCAGCUCAGGUUUUUUGGUUGCUUUUUGUUGUUGUUGUUGUUGAACUGAGUUGAAUCUGAAGAAAUCUGCUCAAGACCAAGUGCUAGCCGAUGGAGCUGGAAAGAUCUCCUCUGUGGACAAAGCCUCAGCCCGGGUGAUGAGUUUGGAGGUAGCAUUUACAAUCAUCCAUGGCUUUAUCGAGAAGGAAAAAAAAAAUCAUGGCCUUAACACAAAGGGUGCUGUGUAGAUAUGGAGUUCAUUUGGGAGACGACCUGAACACCAUACUGACGGACUAGCAGCCAGAUGCCUGCCUAGGAUGCUGACGGUUGUGAAGACUGUCCCCUGUGAUUGGAUCUUUGAAAGCUUCAGCGUGCCUUCUUAGUUUCUAGGAGCAUUAGUUCUCUUCUCACUCGGCCUUGCAGCUUAAAGGAGGAAUCUCUUCGUUUCUGUGACUACGCGCGCACAUUUCAGUCAUUCCUUUCCCACACGUGACCCUUCAAGAGGAAACAGAUUUGGAUGUAUAUGACAACCUCGGAGCCUUUGUGAAGAGAGUGAUUUCUGUGACUUUUGAAUAAAGCCAAGGUGAUAAGCAGUGAGCCCCACUUAUUGACAGUUUUAUACGCACUUGUACCUCAUUAGCAUCGCCUUCCUCGAGGAGUAGUUUUUAUGUCAUCCUUCUUUCCCAUCCCAGAGUCACCCUAAGGGAGAGUUCCUCUAAGUAAUCUCAGACAACUGUACACGCUUCUCCCACAAUGCUUUGGUGCUGUUACCUUGAGAUGGUUUAGGGAGUCAUGGAGGUUUUCUGCUGUGUAUGUUAUCAUCUGUUAAACUUCGAGGUGUUUUGGUUUUUUUUUUGGUUGUUGUUUUUUGGUUUUUUCAUUUAAAGCAACAUUCCUCAGUGUAACAGUACAGGUAUUCCUUGCUUGGUUCCUGGUGUGGCUCUUAACCUUUGUUUGUUUCCCUCACAUAUGAAAACAGACUUUUAAAACUGUCCAGCACUAAUAGUUUGAAAUUUUCCAUCUCCC
Molecule: long non-coding RNA, 2368 nt
Filed under: Mus musculus (house mouse)
Lineage: Eukaryota; Metazoa; Chordata; Mammalia; Rodentia; Muridae
Description: long non-coding RNA chr8:109860886-109863254
Source: RNAcentral